ACGGGUGAGUAAUGUCUGGGAAACUGCCUGAUGGAGGGGGAUAACUACUGGAAACGGUAGCUAAUACCGCAUAACGUCGCAAGACCAAAGAGGGGGACCUUCGGGCCUCUUGCCAUCGGAUGUGCCCAGAUGGGAUUAGCUAGUAGGUGGGGUAACGGCUCACCUAGGCGACAAUCCCUAGCUGGUCUGAGAGGAUGACCAGCCACACUGGAACUGAGACACGGUCCAGACUCCUACGGGAGGCAGCAUG
Molecule: ribosomal RNA, 250 nt
Filed under: uncultured bacterium
Lineage: Bacteria
Description: partial 16S ribosomal RNA
Rfam family: Bacterial small subunit ribosomal RNA
Source: RNAcentral